Molecule: non-coding RNA, 216 nt
Organism: Pelobates cultripes (western spadefoot toad)
Lineage: Eukaryota; Metazoa; Chordata; Amphibia; Anura; Pelobatidae
Source: the annotation of a GenBank genome assembly
CUAUUUCCAAAAUGCUCCCCUACUUGAAUGUUGGUUAAAAGAUCAACAUUGUUUGUUAUAACGAGAUCCAGACAAGCGUCCAUUCUAGUUGGUGCUUGUACCAGUUGUGACAUAAAGGUGUCAUUUAACACAUUCAAAAACCUGAUUCCCCUUGCUGAAGUACUAGUCCCUCUGUCCCAAUUUAUGUCCGGGUAAUUAAAAUCUCCAAUAAUUAAC